GGAUUUUUGAAGAGAAAAUUUGCUGGAUUUUCCGGAUUUGUUCGGAUUUUCCGGAUUUGUUCGGAUUUUUUUCUGGAUUUUUGAAAAUCUGUUGGAUUUUCCGGAUUUGUUUGGAUUUUCCGGAUUUGUUCGGAUUUUUUCUGGAUUUUUUUAAAUUAUAGAGUUAUAGAGCUAGGUAACGUUUUGAACAAAUAAUCUUAAAGAUGCGGUAAAGUCCUUUCUGCGCAUAUAUUCUGCGCAUCAAAACAUUCCAUCAGUGGGGGAGCAUAUACUCGAGCGUAUAAAUGGAAAUGUAGAGUGGUCCAAUAAUUACGAAAUAUAAUGACAGCGAUCACGGUAAGCGUUUAGCUUUCGCUGUCCGCCAUUUUGAACGUGACAAAGAACCUUUACGAGUAAAUUACACCAAGUACUUCAUAUAUUUUUUGUGGAUUUGCGGAUUUUUUGAGGAUUUUGAAGGAUUUCUGUGGAUUUUUGAAGGAUUUCUGUGGUUUUUAAAGGAUUUUUCGGAUUUUGAUGGAUUCAACGGAUUUUGAGGAUUUCAUGGAUUUUUUCUGGAUUUUUUCCGGAUUUUUUGACGAAG
This 580-nucleotide long non-coding RNA is filed under the name Paramuricea clavata. Lineage: Eukaryota; Metazoa; Cnidaria; Anthozoa; Malacalcyonacea; Plexauridae. The record is from RNAcentral.